Molecule: ribosomal RNA, 292 nt
Filed under: uncultured bacterium
Lineage: Bacteria
Description: partial 16S ribosomal RNA
Rfam family: Bacterial small subunit ribosomal RNA
Source: RNAcentral
UUUUCCUACGGGGGGCAGCAGUGGGGGAUAUUGCACAAUGGGGGGAACCCUGAUGCAGCGACGCCGCGUGGGUGAAGGAGCGUUUCGGCGCGUAAAGCCCUAUCGGCAGGGAAGAAGGAGGACGGUACCUGACUAAGAAGCCCCGGCUAACUACGUGCCAGCAGCCGCGGUAAUACGGAGGAUGCGAGCGUUAUCCGGAUUUAUUGGGUUUAAAGGGUGCGUAGGCGGGCUUUUAAGUCAGCGGGAAAAAUUCGGGGCUCAACCCCGUCCGGCCGUUGAAACUGGGGGCCUU